Long non-coding RNA from Dermochelys coriacea (leatherback sea turtle), 1634 nucleotides. RefSeq lists it as uncharacterized. Lineage: Eukaryota; Metazoa; Chordata; Testudines; Dermochelyidae. The record is from RefSeq and is a predicted model, not a curated record. The transcript has 3 exons.
GUGGGGCAGAGAGGCCCCACGCUGGCAAUGAGGGGGUUAAGAAGGCUGACUGGUUCCCCAUUGGCAAUCGAAGGGUUAGGGAAAACUUGUGGACCUGUCACGCAAUUGGCCCUGCCCAACUACACUGCAGCCAAUGUCAGGCAUGGAGAGGGGAGAUAAAAGGAGUGAGCCCAGCACUGUUUGAGUGCUGACUAAGAAGGUGGGUGGAGUUCUGUUUCUUGGGGAAGAAAAGCCCAGUUCUAACCCUGAGAUGGCAUUUGCUUGACAGUUGGAUCAAUCCUCCUGGAGGGGAUGACCAGAUCCUGGGAAGGGAAUUGACAGAAGCACAGACGGUUUUGGAAACAAGCCCCAAAUAGAAGGGUCACUUUAAUUACAGGCUUCAUUCUAUUAUGCACGUGAUGUACAUUCCAUUUAACUGACCACAGAGGAGCAGGAGGGGCUGGAAAGGAGACAGAAGAUUGAACUAACGAUGGAACCUGCAAGCGAACUGGCCCCUAGUGUCGUCAUGAUUUGGGGUAUGGAAUCUGAAAUUUGGUACAGAGAUGGUCCCUAUGCUGCACAUGCUCAUUUAAGACGUGAGCAAAAUCUUUUUCUAACUCCUUCCAAAAAUAAGUUCCUCCUAAAGCAGAAACUCACUCUGGGGAAACCGUAGCCAAAAUGUGUGGCUUUUUCUAUAGCAUGCAAAGGAGCUACAGUGGUGUAGUCAAAUAAUCCUAUGCUUUCAGCCCAAAAUUACUUAUUUAAGUCUCCAUGAGAGAGAACAGGAAUUUCCUCCUCUCACUGGUUGCAGCAAUUCUGAAAACAAAAUGGUCGUUGUCUCAGAAAACAAAGGCAGCUUCAUAGUGACAGAUGCCACAUAAUAGAAAUGUUUUUUUUUAACCUUAACUAUAUCAGGCACUUUAGAAUCCACACUCUGAUGCAAAUACUGACAAUUCAGUUUCUUUACCUUCAGUGAGUACACACUUGUCUUUCAGACAGCUAGCUGGCUCUGUUUAUGGCAUGAAUGAAUUCAGGAUACUGUAGUCUAAUGGCUAGGAAUGCACCGUAGUCUGGGGAUAUGGGUUUGCAGCCGCCACCUCUUCAGGUAGUUCCUCUUGGUCACUCAGCCUGAAUUAUAAACACACCCAUAUUUAAGUGCAGGGCAAUAACUUACUAGAUAAGUUUCACUUGUUUGGACUGGUUUAGGGUUGCCAUAAGGCUGAUGGACAUGAGGGUUUUUCCUCAUGUGAAGCCAAAGUGCAGAAAUCAUGUUGUGGACUGAGAUGUUUGGUUCGGAGUUGUCAUGAUCUGACAAAAGAGAGAAUACAAGUGAAAACGCUUUUUGUGGCCGUCACUUUACAAAGUACAGCCUCAGUACCAAAUUUGACCAGAAAUUCCAGUUGCUCUACCAUUUAUUUACUGAAGUAGUAAAUGAGCUUCUGCUUAAAUGAUUCCUAUUCAUUUUACAUGCCCCUUUUGGGCUCAGAAUAGUGUAAGGAGAUAGGCUGGGUUUGAGCUGAUCCCUGAGAGACUAAGUGUGAGCCAACGUUGUUCCUAUAUGAAAUCUAAGUGACAAAGUCUGCACUUCUCUAGCACCUUGCAUUGAGGUUCACUGAACAUUUGCAAAGUGGUCAGAAUCACAACACCCUUAUGAA